ACAAAAAGUGCUGGUAAUUGGUAUCGCGGCUGGAGAUGCUGCGGCCCGCGAGUCUCUGGCACUUUUGUCGGCGACCUCGGUCUGCGAGGGUCCCAGCGGAGAACCUGGGCCGUAGGGAAGUCACCUCUGGGGUCUCUCCCCGGGGCGGCACAUCGUCCAGAGUCCUGAAUAUCUUCGAUCGAGAUUUGAAAAGGAAACAGAAGAACUGGGCGGCCCAGCAGCCCGAAACGACGAAGUUUGACUACCUGAGGGAGGAGGUUGGAAGUCGAAUUGCGGACCGUGUAUAUGACAUACCCAGAGAUUUCCCCCUUGCUUUGGAUCUUGGUUGUGGAAGAGGUUACAUUGCACAAUAUUUGAAUAAGGAAACUGUUGGAAAGUUUUUCCAAGCCGACAUUGCAGAAAAUGCUUUGAAAAAUUCCUUAGAAACAGAAAUUCCUACUGUCAGCGUUUUAGUUGAUGAAGAAUCCCUUCCCUUCAGAGAAAACACAUUUGACCUGGUGGUUAGCAGUUUAAGUUUGCACUGGGUGAAUGACCUUCCUAGAGCACUUGAGCAGAUUCAUUAUGUUUUAAAACCAGAUGGAGUAUUUAUUGGUGCCAUGUUUGGAGGUGACACACUCUAUGAACUUCGGUGUUCCUUACAGUUAGCAGAGACGGAAAGGGAAGGAGGAUUUUCUCCACACAUUUCUCCUUUCACUGCUGUCAAUGACCUAGGACAUCUGCUUGGGAGAGCUGGCUUUAAUACUCUGACUGUGGACACUGAUGAAAUUCAAGUUAACUAUCCUGGAAUGUUUGAACUGAUGGAAGAUUUACAAGAAAAAAGUCCAGAAUCUUGACCUAAUUUUAUAAAACAAGCUGCAUAUCAGCUGAUGAAUGCAUGAGAAAUUUUCAAGGCUUUCACAGUGGUCUUAAGGUAUGGGUGAGAGUAACUGUUCUUGGAAUAGAAAAGCCCUACUGCAUCGAAACACAAUGCUGGCAGCUGCAGCCGUGUACAGAGAAAUGUACAGAAAUGAGGAUGGUUCAGUACCUGCCACAUAUCAGAUCUAUUACAUGAUAGGAUGGAAAUACCAUGAGUCACAGGCAAGACCAGCUAAAAGAGGUUCCGCAACUGUGUCAUUUGGAGAACUAGGAAAAAUAAACAUACCAGAGGGGGAGAAAUCACAAUAAAUGUUUACUCAAUGUUAAUGUUGUCCAGAAUUUUUAUCAGAAAUGGAUAGCUUUCACAUUUAAAAUUACUAUAUUUUGAAGCAAGAAGCCCUCUUAAGCUAUUUACUCAUAGACUUUUCAUAUAAUUAGGAAAACCUAAUAACACAUCUAUAGUAAACAUUUCAGUUUCAUAUUGUUUCUAUUUUCAUAAGGAUUACUGCUGCCUAGGAAUUGAGUGUCUUUGCAGAUUCAGCCUAAAAGCAAAGAAAAUAUUUCCCUAAAAUUUUUGCAAAUAAUGUUCACAUGUGUAAAUACCUGACUUGAUGGGAAACCUUACUCAUGCUGACAUUUUGUACCUUUUUCUCCUGCUGGUGUUUUUUUCAUUACUUCUGUGAGAGGACCACAGCCGUGGAAAUGAGAGGAGAAACAAGUUGGUAGGUUCUUUAGAGUUCUGGCUCAUUUAGAAUGAAAACACAGACUUUUUAUAAUUACUAUUGUAAAGUACGUAAGGGAAAAUUUUGUUAUACUGUUUUCUUUGCCUUGAAGAGAAACAGAAGAACAUGCACCUUCUCCAGAGUUAUGUGGUUUUAGAAUUUAGAAGAGCAUGUAUCUUUAUUAAAUCCUUCCUCAACUCUUUUUUUAAAACGUCUGAAUUUAACCUUAUUUCUUUUUUAUCUACCUGGUCUGUAUGGGACCACCAUGGUUUUACACCUCACCCUACCUUGGGUAAGAAGAAAACAUUUUAAAGAAUUACAGAAGCAAAAUCACAUGUAAAAGUCUCUGCACAGUGAUCAGUUUAUUGUUAGGCUUUCCUUCAUAAGUUCAGGACCUACUAUCCUAAUCCAAGUUCACCAUUCCAUUUUUGUUGAGGAUUGUUCAAAAUCAUUUGGAGAUAAUCAAGCUCAGACAGGUUAGGAUAGCUGGGAAGAACAUAGAGGGUGGUAAGAAGGAAGCAGGAGUGCGCACUAAAUGUGUUGUUUCUAGUUAGCUGUUUGCUGUCUUUUCCAUUUGACCUGGGCAUGGCCCCAUCCUCAUUUUAGGCCUCAGUGAUUUAUGAUAGCAUUUCCUUCUGUCUCCUCUCAGUCCCUCUCUCUUCCACCUUCCUUCCUUCCUUUACUAUAUGAACAGCAAGUUCUUAAUGGGUCGGGGCUGUGUCUUAAACUGUGCAUAGUACAUGGUGCUUUGCACAUAGUAGAUAUUCAGUUACAUUUUGAAUUGAACUGAUUAUAUGAAAAACAUGCCCUUUGAAAGACUAAGUUAUAGUUAAAAACCAAGGUUUUUGUAGGAACAAAAGAAACUAUUUUCUUCAGUUGGAAAAAUCAUCGAUAUUUGGAAUUGGGAUACUCUUGGUAGUUUUUUUGUUCUAUUUUAACACAAAGAACUUGUGAAGUAAAAUUUGGGAAGGUUUGCUUUUUGUUUUGUUUUGUUUUUAGCUUAAUUUUCAGAACUUGAAGAGAGAGAACAACAACAAAAAACUCUGUGCUAGCCAGCUGCAAUGGCACAUGCCUGUAGUCCCUACUUGGGAGGCUGAGGCAGGAGGAUCACUUGAGCCCAGGAGUUCAAGGCAGCAGUGAGCUAUCUGUGCCACUGCACUCCAGCCUGGGCAAAAGAGGAGACCUCAUCUUAAGAAAAAUCCACCAAAAACCCUGUGUAUUAAAGUGCAAACUGAUGAUGGAGGAAUGGGUAAAUUCUAGGGGCCUAUAUUUCCAAAAGGACAUGUAUUCAUAUGCAGUAAUACUUGUUUUUGAAGAACGCAUCUGAAAGUGUUAAAAGUGGCUGUUGCUGAGGAAGGGGACUGAGGAACUCAGCCUGUCUGUGUCAUUCUGUUUGAAUAUCUGUCUGGGGUAUAGAAACUAGGAGGGAGACUUGUACUUCUCACAUUUUAAACUUCCUGUAAAUUUUGAAUUUUCCAAGCAAGGAUAUUACUUUUGCUUAUUUAAAGUCAACAGAGUUAUAUGUGGAUGGUGGG
Sapajus apella (tufted capuchin) is the source of this 3112-nucleotide RNA transcript. It is a transcript of the gene named NADH:ubiquinone oxidoreductase complex assembly factor 5, with no coding region annotated. Lineage: Eukaryota; Metazoa; Chordata; Mammalia; Primates; Cebidae. The record is from RefSeq and is a predicted model, not a curated record. The transcript has 12 exons.